CGCUUUCACUCCUACGGGAGGCAGCAGUGGGGAAUAUUGCACAAUGGGCGCAAGCCUGAUGCAGCCAUGCCGCGUGUAUGAAGAAGGCCUUCGGGUUGUAAAGUACUUUCAGCAGUGAGGAAGGUGGUAGUGUUAAUAGCACUAUCAUUUGACGUUAGCUGCAGAAGAAGCACCGGCUAACUCCGUGCCAGCAGCCGCGGUAAUACGGAGGGUGCGAGCGUUAAUCGGAAUUACUGGGCGUAAAGCGCAUGCAGGUGGUUUGUUAAGUCAGAUGUGAAAGCCCGGGGCUCAACCUCGGAAUUGCAUUUGAAACUGGCAGACUAGAGUACUGUAGAGGGGGUAGAAUUUCAGGUGUAGCGGUGAAAUGCGUAGAGAUCUGAAGGAAUACCAGUGGCGAAGGCGGCCCCCCUGGACAGAUACUGACACUCAGAUGCGAAAGCGUGGGGAGCAAACAGGAUUAGAUACCCUGGUAG
This 473-nucleotide ribosomal RNA is filed under the name uncultured bacterium. Its description in RNAcentral is "bacterial SSU rRNA". It matches the Rfam family "Bacterial small subunit ribosomal RNA", at positions 328 to 793 of the family's 1533-position model. The record is from RNAcentral.